UGAGUACGAGACGCUAAGGCGUUGAAGCAGUCUAUGUCAGACUUCCAAGAAAAGCCCGCAAUGUCAUAAACAAAAAGUGCCUGUACCAUAACCGACACAGGUGGGUAGGUAGAGUAUACUAAGGGGCGCGAGAUAACUCUCUCUAAGGAACUCGGCAAAAUGACUCCGUAACUUCGGGAGAAGGAGUGCCUUAUUUUUAUAAGGUUGCAAUAACAAGAUCCAAGCAACUGUUUACCAAAAACACAGGUCUCCGCUAAGUCGUAAGACGAUGUAUGGGGGCUGACGCCUGCCCAGUGCCAGAAGGUUAAAGAAGUUGGUUAGUUUCGGCGAAGCUGAUGACUGAAGCCCUGGUGAACGGCGGCCGUAACCAUAACGGUCCUAAGGUAGCGAAAUUCCUUGUCGGGUAAGUUCCGACCCGCACGAAAGGCGUAAUGAUUUGGAUACUGUCUCGGAGAGGGGCUCGGUGAAAUAGACUUGUCUGUGAAGAUGCGGACUACCUGCACCUGGACAGAAAGACCCUAUGAAGCUUUACUGUAACUUGAGAUUGAAAUUGGACUUUAUUUGCGCAGUAUAGGUGGGAGACGUUGAGAAUAUUCUUGCGGGAAUAUUGGAGUCAUCAGUGAGAUACCACUCUUGUAAUGUUAGAUUUCUAACUUUGUAUCAUUAUCUGGUCAAAGGACAGUUUCAGGCGGGCAGUUUGACUGGGGCGGUCGCCUCCCAAACGGUAACGGAGGCGCACAAAGGUUUCCUCUGAACGUGUAGAAAUCGUAUCUAGAGUGUAAAGGCAUAAGGAAGCUUGACUGUGAGACCUACAAGUCGAGCAGGGACGAAAGUCGGUCUUAGUGAUCUGACGGUGCUGAGUGGAAAGGCCGUCACUCAACGGAUAAAAGUUACUCUAUGGAUAACAGGCUGAUCUCCCCCAAGAGUUCACAUCGACGGGGAGGUUUGGCACCUCGAUGUCGGCUCAUCGCAUCCUGGGGCGGUAGUACGUCCCAAGGGUUGGGCUGUUCGCCCAUGAAAGCGGUACGCGAGCUGGGUUCAGAACGUCGUGAGACAGUUCGGUCCAUAUCCGGUGUAGGCGUUAGAAUAUUGAGAGGAGCCUUCUUUAGUACGAGAGGACCGAGAAGGACAUACCUCUGGUGUACCAGUUAUCGUGCCAACGGUAAACGCUGGGUAGCUAUGUAUGGAGUGGAUAACCGCUGAAAGCAUCUAAGUGGGAAGCCCACCUCAAGAUAAG
RNAcentral lists this ribosomal RNA (1237 nucleotides) under metagenome. RNAcentral's name for it is "bacterial LSU rRNA". It matches the Rfam family "Bacterial large subunit ribosomal RNA", at positions 1564 to 2808 of the family's 2925-position model. The record is from RNAcentral.